This 431-nucleotide ribosomal RNA is filed under the name uncultured bacterium. Its description in RNAcentral is "bacterial SSU rRNA". It matches the Rfam family "Bacterial small subunit ribosomal RNA", at positions 354 to 777 of the family's 1533-position model. The record is from RNAcentral.
GUUAGGAAUAUUCGUCAAUGGGGGAAACCCUGAACGAGCAAUGCCGCGUGAAGGAUGACGGUCCUCUGGAUUGUAAACUUCUGUUGUUAGGGAAGAACGACCUAAGUAGGAAAUGACUUAGGAGUGACGGUACCUUUCAAGAAAGCUCCGGCUAACUACGUGCCAGCAGCCGCGGUAAUACGUAGGGAGCAAGCGUUAUCCGGAUUUAUUGGGUGUAAAGGGUGCGUAGGCGGCUUUUUAGGUCUAAGGUUUAAGCCCGGAGCUUAACUCCGGUUCGCCUUAGAAACCGAUUCGCUUGAGUAUGGUAGAGGCAAGUGGAAUUUCUAGUGUAGCGGUAAAAUGCGUAGAUAUUAGAAGGAACACCAGUGGCGAAGGCGACUUGCUGGGCCAUUACUGACGCUGAGGCACGAAAGCGUGGGGAGCAAAUAGGA